This 81-nucleotide small nucleolar RNA is filed under the name Acanthisitta chloris (rifleman). RNAcentral describes it as "Small nucleolar RNA SNORD45". It matches the Rfam family "Small nucleolar RNA SNORD45". Rfam says of the family: U45 belongs to the C/D class of snoRNA which contain the C (UGAUGA) and D (CUGA) box motifs. Most of the members of the box C/D family function in directing site-specific 2'-O-methylation of substrate RNAs. Lineage: Eukaryota; Metazoa; Chordata; Aves; Passeriformes; Acanthisittidae. The record is from Rfam by way of RNAcentral.
GGUCUGUGAUGAGUUUCGGCAUGUAUUCUGAGCAUAAAUUUGACGAUGAUCAAUUUAGCUCUACUAUUACUCUGAGACCUG